CCUACGGGCGGCAGCAGUGAGGAAUAUUGGUCAAUGGACGAGAGUCUGAACCAGCCAAGUAGCGUGAAGGAUGACUGCCCUAUGGGUUGUAAACUUCUUUUAUAUGGGAAUAAAAUGUUCCACGUGUGGGAUUUUGUAUGUACCAUAUGAAUAAGGAUCGGCUAACUCCGUGCCAGCAGCCGCGGUAAUACGGAGGAUCCGAGCGUUAUCCGGAUUUAUUGGGUUUAAAGGGAGCGUAGGUGGAUUGUUAAGUCAGUUGUGAAAGUUUGUGGCGCAACCGUAAAAUUGCAGUUGAAACUGGCAGUCUUGAGUACAGUAGAGGUGGGCGGAAUUCGUGGUGUAGCGGUGAAAUGCUUAGAUAUCACGAAGAACUCCGAUUGCGAAGGCAGUUCACUGGACUGCAACUGACACUGAGGCUCGAAAGUGUGGGUAUCAAACAGGAUUAGAUACCCCAGUAGUC
RNAcentral lists this ribosomal RNA (460 nucleotides) under uncultured bacterium. Its description in RNAcentral is "partial 16S ribosomal RNA". It matches the Rfam family "Bacterial small subunit ribosomal RNA", at positions 338 to 795 of the family's 1533-position model. The record is from RNAcentral.